Molecule: long non-coding RNA, 4296 nt
Organism: Gasterosteus aculeatus aculeatus (three-spined stickleback)
Lineage: Eukaryota; Metazoa; Chordata; Actinopteri; Perciformes; Gasterosteidae
Source: Ensembl
ACGCGCCCGACAGGUCCCACCUGGCGAGCUCUCAGACGUGUGGACCAAUCAGAACGAGCCGGGCCGCUCGUCACGGGGAAAAUCAAAGUUGUUGUGGGAGCGCGUGUGUGUUUGCCAGCGAGAGGAUCGAGACGGCGAGGAGGAGAAGUGGACGGACCGACCGGCACCAGCCCCAUCCCCAAAAAAAAACACCGUAGCAGAAAGAAGAAGCCCCCCCCCCAAACACACACACACGCGGGAUAUCGCAUCAUCGCGAUGAAAGAUGACUUGACAGUUGCAAACUGCAGCUCUACCUCGUCGGACCGUGGCGAUGUUUAAACCUCUGCGUGCAUAGUACCCCCCCACACCCCCCCGCACCACUGUGGACGUCUCCAUCUGGGACUCGCUUGCCGACGGAGCGUUUGCUGAACCCGAUAUGACGGAGAUCAGCGAAAAGGAGAACGAACCACAGAACCUCCACCGUCCGCCACCGGCCACCGUGCCCAGCCCGCCCGAGACCAAGGUACCCGCCGCGCACCUGCGCCGCCGUGCGCGGUGCUUUCUCAUUUGAUAAAGAAACCGAUAUUAUUAUUAUUAUUAUUAUUAUUUGGAAGUUGAAGCGCGUUCGUCUCGUAAGUUGCUGCUGUUGUCUUUUGAUUUUAAGAAUAGUUUAUUGUUCAUUCUGUCCCACGAAUCUAAUUCUGUGGCGGUUGCGUAAGAGCCGUAAGCCGCUUGUAAUAGCCGCUUUAAUUCUCUAAUUUGUAACUCACCUGACCUCAGAGAGGUCGCAGAGGGCAGAGAUGACUUGACAUAAAGGCGCGUCUGUGUAGGCCCGUGUGUGUCUGUGUAACACAAAUGCUAAGGUUUCCAUUAGUACACCGUGAUGAACCCAUUAAGCCUGUUAUGUGGUUGCUUGCUGAUGAGCUUAAGACAUCCGUAACAUUGUGCAUGUGCAUUAAACAUUGUCGAUACAGCGUCAUCACUCUAGACUUUCUAGGGGCCUUACAUCUUGUCGCAUGGGACCAGGUACCUGGAUGGCGAAGAUGGGGAAGACAUUGAUGACACUCUCUGUGACCCAUGUGUGGUCUUCUGUGCGUUCGCUGCUGGAAUAUAAUCCGCCACCAGACCAGAAGUUAGAGGUGUAAACGGGUUAAUUCAGGAGUUCAUCUUCAAUUGGCGCUCACUACCCCGGAUCACAUGUGCUGCUCAUGUGUGGUCAGGGAUGGAAAAGAAAGCCUUCUUGUUUUAAUGGAUUUGAAAUCCUUAAUAAUAAUAAUUUAGGACUUUUGAGCUUUCUAAUUUCAAUGGGGCUGAUGUUUUAAAACCAGAUACUGCUAGAUGUUGAGUGCUCGGGAGUGCGUAUUGCCUCACACAUUUUCACUUGAAUUAGCACAAACCAGGAAGCGUUUUGUCUCCAGGGCACUUUGCAUCUUUCUUGGUAAAGUAUGAAACCUCUAUACAUCCUAUUUGUAGUGUUUAUUAGCAAAAAAAAAGAAGAUGAGGUGAUCUUUCUUGACAAAAAAGUGUGGUUGAGCUUUAAAUUGAGACAAUAAAUGAUCACAUAAUGGCUGGACCUCAAUCUCCUGUCGCACAUUUUGUUUCUUUAACAAACGAGCGUCAAGAAUGACCCUAAUUGCAGCUGCAACGCAAACAACAAAUCCCAUUAAGGUUAUUAUGGCUUUUGUUUGGGCGACCGCGACGUGGCACCCGAAACAAGGCCGGCAGGUCGGGGGCCCCUCACAGAAGAACACAAUGCAUUGUGGGCGUCGAGCGUGGAUUUACGAGCCAAUCGGCCAGCAGAUGUUUGCCGUGUCUUGCUCUGAAGCGCUCCUCAUCCCCCGCCGGCGAAGAGCGAGGAGGAGGAGAAGUAGAUCAAACGUGUGCUACAACUGCUGUGGGGGGGGGCUCUUUUCACGGCGGCUCAGCUCGAGGCCGUCUCCGGAGCUUCACUCGUCACUCCCCGUCACUCUCAAAUCCCUCUCACCCUCUCCCUCUCUGCGUCUGCCCCCCCCCCCACACCCCUCAUUGGCGUCCGAGUGGGUCUCUCUUCACCGCUCGUCUCCUCAUCAGCUCUCCCUCCCCUCGUCUCUCGCUCUCCAUUCCGUCUGCGUCUCCGCGCCGCCCCUCGGCUCUCUCGGGGGGUGUUUAUCGCAUCGAUAAGUGGGCUCGCCGGCGUCCUGGAGUGGCCGAGGAUGAAUAGUUAUUCCACCUACACCUGGCGGCAAGGUGACGGGUAUUGUUAUUCCUCUCUAAUCACCCGGACAGCGCGCCAUUCAAGGCAUUUGCAUUUAACAGUUGCAGCAGUAACACUGGUGGAAACGUUUGUAAAAUAUAUCUUUAUCAAGAGACAGAAAUGGUUUAUUGACGGUGUGUUACACAUAUAAGAGGAAUCUGGCCUGCCAGACAACUGCAUCACUGAGACUUGAUUAUAAUGCACACAUUGUGGAAGAGUUGUUUAACAUAUUUGUUUUGACAAGCUGUCGUCUCAUCCAGACGUUUCUUUGUUUUUUACAUUCUUCAUUCACCGACGAGAUUUGACAUUUAACCCAUUAAAAGGCAACUUGUCCUUUUUGUUAGUAUGGAUCAAACAAGACACAUAUCAUUAUCGUUGUUAAUUAUUGAGCUUCCGAGUUGAUAGGAAGCUGAUUUUGUCUUUUCGACAGUCAGUCCAGCUGUUCAUGAAAUAAACCAGCUGCUGCAUCACGUUUCCCUCGCCAACGCGACGGCGAUACUGAUCUUCUCAUCCACCUCUCCUUAUGAAAACGAGUGAAUAUUCCUUUAAACUCUUCGUGAAGUUUGAUACCGACACACUGGGAUGGUAUUGAUGAUGAUGCGUAGCAGCGCUGUGCCCCGGGGGGCCAUGGGGGCCCUUCACACAGUCCACCGCCUUCUCAGCCAACACAAAGGCGCUUUUACGAUGUGAAAUGAUGGCAACCGUUUCGCUAACUUUUAUGAUCAGCCCCGAGCAUCAAACUGGGUCAAUUAAAGCCAACUGCUGUACACAUUUUUGGGGGGUUGAUUCCUCUCCUUUAAUCCUCUGAAAUACUUUUCAGAAAUGUGCAAACAUGAAAACAGAGCCCAUUUCAAAUUCUUCUUACUUACAGUUACAGUUAUUAAAACGCAUCAUUAAACGUGCCGCUAUAAAUUGGAUUGUGAUACCGUUGUAUUUGAUUCAUUUUGGGCAGCUUUUGACUGUUUCCUUGUCCAAAGGUAUCAACACUUCUUUAAUGAGCUUUUCCGAUGUGCGUCUGUAACAUGGUUUCACUGUGUAGAUUACAUUGCUGGACAAAGCAUUUUCUGCCACCUUGUGUUUGUUUCUUCAAUAUUUUCAGACACUUCAUGAUGUGCUUGCGUUUCUCCUGCAAGUGUGAUUGACUCGCGCCGCCGACCUUUGACACCAACUGCGGUCAUAAAACAGACGAAGAGAGACGGAGUCACAAUGAAGAAGAGACAAAUAAACAACAAAAAAAGCAAGAAAACACACUGAGAAUGGGACAAAUGUUCCAAGUCAAUCGCGUCCACGCUGUGCUCAUUUAUCCGAUGUUGAGCCAGCACUGUUUGGAUUAAUGAUGAAAUGAUUAAAUUACUCUCCUUGAUCGGGUUAUAAAAUGCUGCUGAUCCAGCAGAAUCCCGGGGUAACAGGAAGAAGAACGGCCUCCAUCCAGUGCUUUGUUUAGGGCUUUGUUUGUCGGACUUGUUUUUAGAGAAAAACUGCACACACUUAGGUCCAAGACAUCUUGAAUAUUUUAGGUUUAAUCUUGAAGAUCACAAGUGAAUCUCUGCUAAAUGUGUAACAAAUCAUUUCAAACACCCCAAUUCGUACCGUUUCUCAACCGCUGUGUUUAAAUCAAAGAGCCCGUUGCCUAAUGCUAACUGCAAAAGCUCCUUGUGCAGUUAAGCCCCUUAAACUGCUGAACGAGGAAAUGCGAGCUUCUCUUGGUCGACACUCGGGGAGGCAUUUAGGAGCCACACAAAGAGCAGUGAAAGUGACAAUGAGAAGAGGAUUGGAGGAUAAUUUACCCCCCGAUUCAUUUUCUUUUUACCUAAACUAGUAGAUCAGUAGUAUGAUCCAUCACAGAGACACCUGUGAUGCCCCAGGUUCAUUUUAGGUUCCCAUUCUCGUCCCAUCUAAUGGCCUACAUCUAUCUUCCCUAAUAAAGUUUAUAUUUGCAUAAGUAAUUUUGGGGAAAAAAGCAGUGGAUGUCAAAGGAGCCAUAUGUCUGAUUGGAUCAACCUACCAAGUGCUUAAAAACUGUUGUGCAAACUUAAUGUCAUUACAUGUCAAUGUGAUUUUGUAAUACUUGACAAAAAAUACCA